This 643-nucleotide unclassified non-coding RNA is filed under the name Hevea brasiliensis (rubber tree). The record is from RNAcentral. Lineage: Eukaryota; Viridiplantae; Streptophyta; Magnoliopsida; Malpighiales; Euphorbiaceae.
CAAGAAAACCUCCUCAAAGAAGUGACGUCCUCCUCAACAGCAUGACAGCCACAGGCUCAUUCAAUUGCUAAUCCUCUGCUUCGUUACAAGGAACAGUAAGAAAAAUAAAAGAAAUUGAAUUCAAAUAAGAGAGACUCCAUCAUGUGGUAGGGAGAUGCAGUAGCCUCAUCCACUCAGGUGAUUCCAACACAAAAAUAUAUGAAUCCGUUCAAUUCCCAAUCCCUCAGGCCUCCGUUUGGCGCUGAGAAAAGGCAGGAAAAGGUGAGAAAGUGAUACUUUACACCUCACAUUUUCCAUUACUUCCACACCAAUACAUAACGAAAUCCAAUUCAAGAAACUCGUCUUAUAAGCAGUGGAAUUCCAAAAAUCCAAAAGAAAUUAUUUCCCAUCCUUUCGUCGCCUUUGUCAGCAACCAAACAAACAGCGGACAAAAACCGAAAACCAUACUUAAACCACCAUUACAAAUGAUUUUUCCAAAUAAAAUUCCCUCGAAAAAAAAAAAUCAAUCAAAUCAUGACGAACAAGAAAACAAACAAUCUAAAACAAGAGAAAACACUCCGUUUCUAAAUACAUCGAAGAGAGCUCAUAAAGCUGUCCACGUAAAACCACUCGAAACUUACCAGUGAAGCUCUGCUCUUGAUUA